GAAAGCCGCGAAGCGGCCCUGCCCCUUAAGGGAGAGGAGCUGCGGGGACCAAACGACGCUUCCCAGGGUAGCGGGAGUUUCAGGGACCACUGCAGAAGCCAGAUUCAGAGGAUGGGUUCUGGAGAAGGAAGAAGAAGAAUUAGUGCAUGGACCAUUUUAUGCUUGAGAUGCUCUUCCUCAAUAGCUGGAAAAAAAAUUCAAGCUAAGUACUAUGAUUGGACCUGUCGAAAGGAAAAUAUGAUCUUUGUUGCUAAACAUGUAUGCUUGAAGUGGCCAACUUAUAUGAAAAAUACCUUUGGACUUCCCUCAUGGUCCAGUGGUUAAGAACUCACCUGCCAAUGUAGAGGACAUGGGUUUGAUCUCUGGUCUGGGAAGAUUCCACAUGCUGCAGAGCAACUAAGCCCAUGAGCCACAACUACUGAAGCCUGCUGCCGAGAGCCCAUGCUCCACAAUAAGUGAAGCCACUGCAGUGAGAAACCUGCC
This is a long non-coding RNA of Dama dama (fallow deer), 483 nucleotides long. RefSeq lists it as uncharacterized. Lineage: Eukaryota; Metazoa; Chordata; Mammalia; Artiodactyla; Cervidae. The transcript has 4 exons. The record is from RefSeq and is a predicted model, not a curated record.